AACGAACGCUGGCGGCAUGCCUAACACAUGCAAGUCGAACGAGACCUUCGGGUCUAGUGGCGCACGGGUGCGUAACGCGUGGGAACCUGCCCUUAGGUUCGGAAUAACUCCCCGAAAGGGGUGCUAAUACCGGAUAAUGUCUUCGGCCCAAAGAUUUAUCGCCUUUGGAUGGGCCCGCGUUGGAUUAGCUAGUUGGUAGGGUAAAAGCCUACCAAGGCGACGAUCCAUAGCUGGUCUGAGAGGAUGAUCAGCCACACUGGGACUGAGACACGGCCCAGACUCCUACGGGAGGCAGCAGUGGGGAAUAUUGGACAAUGGGGGAAAGCCUGAUCCAGCAAUGCCGCGUGAGUGAUGAAGGCCGUAGGGUUGUAAAGCUCUUUUACCCGGGAUGAUAAUGACAGUACCGGGAGAAUAAGCUCCGGCUAACUCCGUG
This 433-nucleotide ribosomal RNA is filed under the name uncultured bacterium. Its description in RNAcentral is "partial 16S ribosomal RNA". It matches the Rfam family "Bacterial small subunit ribosomal RNA", at positions 29 to 507 of the family's 1533-position model. The record is from RNAcentral.